GACAGAGGUGCCGAGCGUUAGGCGGAAUCACUGGGCUUAAAGCGUGUGUAGGCGGAUUUGUAAGUACCUUGUGAAAUCCCACGGCUCAACCGUGGAACUGCUCGGUAUACUGCUUAUCUUGUGCCACUUAGGGGCAGUCGGAACAGACGGUGGAGCGGUGAAAUGCGUAGAUAUCGCUUGGAACGCCGAAGGUGAAGACAGGCAACUGGACGUGCGCCGACGCUGAGACGCGAAAGCCAGGGGAGCGAACGGG
Molecule: ribosomal RNA, 253 nt
Filed under: uncultured prokaryote
Description: partial 16S ribosomal RNA
Rfam family: Bacterial small subunit ribosomal RNA
Source: RNAcentral